This 1070-nucleotide ribosomal RNA is filed under the name Palaemon pacificus. Its description in RNAcentral is "eukaryotic LSU rRNA". It matches the Rfam family "Eukaryotic large subunit ribosomal RNA", at positions 378 to 1158 of the family's 3401-position model. Lineage: Eukaryota; Metazoa; Arthropoda; Malacostraca; Decapoda; Palaemonidae. The record is from RNAcentral.
GAAGAGAGAGUUCAAGAGUACGUGAAACCAUUAGAAGCUCAAACGGGUGGAACCGUGAAGGUCGAAAGAGGGGAUUCAGCCUGCAGGACAUGGGCUCUGACCGCGGUUCAAGUUGCAUUUCAGUGAGAGGACCCCGCCAUGAAGUUUGUGGUUUGGGGCUGCGCGGCCGGGCCAGCCGCGUGCUGCGGGCUUAUUUCUACCUCGAGUAGAGAGUGUCGCGACCCGCUGGCCGGGCUCCCAGGGCCGUGCGGGACUGGUAACCGCGCGGGUGAUGACCCGCUACGGUGUUGACCGGGCUUGGGCGGCGGUGACUGCAAGGAGGCCGCGGAGAGAAGAAUGCGGCCUCUCGCGACGUGAGAGGGAUUGGUAAUCCACCCGACCCGUCUUGAAACACGGACCAAGGAGUCCAACAUGUGCGCGAGUCUAAGGGUUGUCUAAACCCGGAGGCGAAAUGAAAGCGAGUUCUGUUUGGGCAGGCCGAUCCCCUGCUGGUCGGGGCCUGCUGGGCCAGCUAGGUUGAGAGAAUAUCCUGGGCUGGUGCCGGCGGUGCCUGGGCUGGCGGCCCUGAGGUCUGGCAACAGGCCUUUGGGAGUUGGGGCGCAGGCCGAGGACUUGGCUUUGUGCGGCCCGGGAAACGGGUGGCUGCUCCCUCGGGGGUGGUUGCCUGGACCCGUGGUCCGCGGCCAAGUACCUGAGAGCGCAGCCGUUGGGACCCGAAAGAUGGUGAACUAUGCCUGGCGAGGACGAAGCCAGAGGAAACUCUGGUGGAGGUCCGAAGCAGUUCUGACGUGCAAAUCGAUUGUCAGAGCUGGGUAUAGGGGCGAGAGACUAAUCGAACCAUCUAGUAGCUGGUUCCCUCCGAAGUUUCCCUCAGGAUAGCUGGCAUUCGGAGUUGUGAGUUUCAUCCGGUAAAGCGAAUGAUUAGAGGCCUUGGUGGUGCAAUGCCGUCAACCUAUUCUCAAACUUUAAAUGGGUGAGACGUGGAGCUUGCUUGAGAGAGACGUGAAGCUCUAUGAUGCAAAGAAUCAGAGUGCCUAGUGGGCCACUUUUGGUAAGCAGAACUGGCGCUG